This 415-nucleotide ribosomal RNA is filed under the name uncultured Actinomycetes bacterium. Its description in RNAcentral is "bacterial SSU rRNA". It matches the Rfam family "Bacterial small subunit ribosomal RNA", at positions 352 to 759 of the family's 1533-position model. Lineage: Bacteria; Bacillati; Actinomycetota; Actinomycetes. The record is from RNAcentral.
CAGGGGGGUAUCUUGCCCAAAGGGGGGAACCCUGACCCAACGCCGCCGCGUGCGGCAAGAAAGCCUUCGGGUGGUAAACCGCUUUCGGGAGGGACAAAGCCACUCGGGUUAAUACCCCAAAGGGGUGACGGUACCUCCAGAAGAAGCCCCGCCUAAUUAUGUGCCACCAGACGCGGUAAUACGUAGGGGGCAAGCGUUGUCCGGAUUUAUUGGGCGUAAAGAGCGUGUACGCGGCCUGCUAAGUCUGUUGUGAAAACUCGAGGCUCACCCCCGGGAUGCCGCUGGAAACCGUCGGGCUAGAGUCCGGAAGAGGGGAGUGGAAUUCCCGGUGUAGCGGUGAAAUGCGCAGAUAUCGGGAGGAACACCCGUGGCGAAGGCAGUUCUCUGGGGCGGUACUGACCCUGAGCCCCGAAAG